UACGGAGGGUGCAAGCGUUGUUCGGAAUUACUGGGCGUAAAGCGCGUGUAGGCGGCUAUUUAAGUCUGGUGUGAAAGCCCGAGGCUCACCCUCGGAAGCGCACUGGAUACUGGAUGGCUCGAGUACCGGAGAGGAGGGUGGAAUUCCCGGUGUAGCGGUGAAAUGCGCAGAUAUCGGGAGGAACACCGGUGGCGAAGGCGGUUCUCUGGGCCUUACCUGACGCUGAGGAGCGAAAGCGUGGGGAGCGAACAGG
This 253-nucleotide ribosomal RNA is filed under the name uncultured bacterium. Its description in RNAcentral is "partial 16S ribosomal RNA". It matches the Rfam family "Bacterial small subunit ribosomal RNA", at positions 524 to 776 of the family's 1533-position model. The record is from RNAcentral.